UGACGAACGACGAUGGGGAGCUGCUGUGCUGAGGGCAGAUCUUGGCCGGGUGGUUUGGGUUCUGGAGAGUGAGAGGGCUAUCUGUGGCCAGCUGGGAUUUGAAGAUGAGAGGAAAAAUCGGGUGAAGGCUGCCUUGGAGAACUGGUUCGGUGCUGGGAGAAGGAAGAUGAACGGCUGGUGUCGGGGUGUAGCUGUAACACGGGGUUCGAUGAGGCUGAUUUGUGGCUGAGAGAGGAGAGGGAUGGUGGGCUGUGUAGGGGCUGAGGAUGGAUGGAUGUCGGUCAGAGAGAGGCUGGGAACCGGCUGGAAAAGGAGAAGAAAAUGGGGGGAACUGCAGUGAGAAGGGGGGGCUGUUCGGUUUGGGGGAAAAAGAGAGCUUGGUUUUUUUUUUUUUUUCAGGUGGCUGUAAAGGCAGCUGUGAGGAGAAGAUCAAAAUCCAAGGGGGG
RNAcentral lists this long non-coding RNA (446 nucleotides) under Populus tremula. RNAcentral's name for it is "long non-coding RNA (PTRE_LNC001086)". Lineage: Eukaryota; Viridiplantae; Streptophyta; Magnoliopsida; Malpighiales; Salicaceae. The record is from RNAcentral.